This 445-nucleotide ribosomal RNA is filed under the name uncultured bacterium. RNAcentral's name for it is "partial 16S ribosomal RNA". It matches the Rfam family "Bacterial small subunit ribosomal RNA", at positions 355 to 792 of the family's 1533-position model. The record is from RNAcentral.
UAAGGAAUCUUCCACAAUGGACGCAAGUCUGAUGGAGCAACGCCGCGUGAGUGAAGAAGGCUUUCGGGUCGUAAAACUCUGUUAUUGAAGAAGAACGUGUGUGACAGUAACUGGUCAUGCAGUGACGGUAUUCAAUCAGAAAGUCACGGCUAACUACGUGCCAGCAGCCGCGGUAAUACGUAGGUGGCAAGCGUUGUCCGGAUUUAUUGGGCGUAAAGCGAGUGCAGGCGGUCUUUUAAGUCUGAUGUGAAAGCCUUCGGCUUAACCGAAGAAGGGCAUCGGAAACUGGGAGACUUGAGUGCAGAAGAGGAGAGUGGAACUCCAUGUGUAGCGGUGAAAUGCGUAGAUAUAUGGAAGAACACCAGUGGCGAAGGCGGCUCUCUGGUCUGUAACUGACGCUGAGGCUCGAAAGCGUGGGUAGCAAACAGGAUUAGAUACCCUGGUA